RNAcentral lists this ribosomal RNA (468 nucleotides) under uncultured bacterium. Its description in RNAcentral is "partial 16S ribosomal RNA". It matches the Rfam family "Bacterial small subunit ribosomal RNA", at positions 28 to 507 of the family's 1533-position model. The record is from RNAcentral.
GACGAACGCUGGCGGCGUGCUUAAUACAUGCAAGUCGAACGGAAAGGCCCUGCUUUUGUUGGGUGCUCGAGUGGCGAACGGGUGAGUAACACGUGAGUAACCUCCCCUUGACUUUGGGAGAACUUCAGGAAACUGGGGCUAAUACCGGAUAGGAGCUCCUGCUGCAUGGGGGGGGUUGGUAAGUUUCGGCGGUGGGGGCUGGACUCGCGGCUUAUCAGCUUGAUGGUGGGGUAGUGGAUUACAAAGGCUUUGACGGGUAGCCGGCCUGGGAGGGUGACCGGCGACCUUGGGACUGAGAUACGGCCCAGAAUCCUACGGGAGGCAGCAGUGGGGAAUCUUGCACAAUGGGCGGAAGCCUGAUGCAGCAACGCCGCGUGCGGGAUGACGGCCUUCGGGUUGUAAACCGCUGUCGCCUGUGACGAAGCGUGAGUGACGGUAAUGGGUAAAGAAGCACCGGCUAACUACGUG